UAAAUAAGCAGAGGAAAAGAAACUAACUAGGAUUCCCUCAGUAAGGGCGACUGAACAGGGAGAAGCACAAGUUGAUAAUCGGUGUGUAUAACACUGAAUUGUGGUCUUAAAACUAUCAUUCUAAAAGUUGGAAGAAGUUCUCUUGGAAUAGAGCGGCAUAGAGGGUGACACCCCCGUUCUUCUGACUUGUGCAUUGGUAGUUAACGAGUCGAGUUGCUUGGGAUUGCAGCUCAAAGUGGGUGGUAAAUUCCAUCUAAUGCUAAAUACCAAAGAGAUACCGAUAGCAAACAAGUACCGUGAGGGAAAGAUGCAAAGAACUUUGAAAAGAGAGUUAAAAAGUACCUGAAAUUGCUGAAAUUAAAGAGAAGAGAACCAGUGUUAGACACUGUCGCUUUUUCCUCUUUGCUUGCAGAGAGGGCGCUGUGGCAUUGUUGCCGUCUUGCCAUAACUAAUUUGAUGGAAGAUUAUGCAGUGUAUUUUUACUCUGUGUGUAAUUCAUUGAGUUGGUUUUGGACAGACAAAAUGGUUUUUUUUCUUCCCG
RNAcentral lists this ribosomal RNA (541 nucleotides) under Cymbella aspera. Its description in RNAcentral is "eukaryotic LSU rRNA". It matches the Rfam family "Eukaryotic large subunit ribosomal RNA", at positions 43 to 651 of the family's 3401-position model. The record is from RNAcentral. Lineage: Eukaryota; Bacillariophyta; Bacillariophyceae; Cymbellales; Cymbellaceae.